UACAGAGGGUGCGAGCGUUAAUCGGAAUUACUGGGCGUAAAGCGCACGUAGUCGGCUUUGCAAGUCGGUUGUGAAAUCCCCGGGCUCAACCUGGGAACUGCAUCCGGGACUGCAUUGCUAGAGUAUGGGAGAGGGAAGCGGAAUUUCUGGUGUAGCAGUGAAAUGCGUAGAUAUCAGAAGGAACAUCAGUGGCGAAGGCGGCUUCCUGGACCAAUACUGACGAUCAGGUGCGAAAGCGUGGGGAGCAAACAGG
RNAcentral lists this ribosomal RNA (253 nucleotides) under uncultured bacterium. Its description in RNAcentral is "partial 16S ribosomal RNA". It matches the Rfam family "Bacterial small subunit ribosomal RNA", at positions 524 to 776 of the family's 1533-position model. The record is from RNAcentral.